This 66-nucleotide ribosomal RNA is filed under the name Escherichia coli. RNAcentral also lists the same sequence under 7 other names. The record is from RNAcentral. Lineage: Bacteria; Pseudomonadati; Pseudomonadota; Gammaproteobacteria; Enterobacterales; Enterobacteriaceae.
CCUGGCGGCAGUAGCGCGGUGGUCCCACCUGACCCCAUGCCGAACUCAGAAGUGAAACGCCGUAGC